Molecule: ribosomal RNA, 394 nt
Filed under: uncultured bacterium
Lineage: Bacteria
Description: bacterial SSU rRNA
Rfam family: Bacterial small subunit ribosomal RNA
Source: RNAcentral
AAUGAACGCUGGCGGCAUGCCUAACACAUGCAAGUCGAACGAAGCCUUCGGGUUUAGUGGCGCACGGGUGCGUAACGCGUGGGAAUCUGCCCCUUGGUUCGGAAUAACAGUUGGAAACGACUGCUAAUACCGGAUGAUGACGUAAGUCCAAAGAUUUAUCGCCGAGGGAUGAGCCCGCGUAGGAUUAGGUAGUUGGUGUGGUAAAGGCGCACCAAGCCGACGAUCCUUAGCUGGUCUGAGAGGAUGAUCAGCCACACUGGGACUGAGACACGGCCCAGACUCCUACGGGAGGCAGCAGUGGGGAAUAUUGGACAAUGGGCGAAAGCCUGAUCCAGCAAUGCCGCGUGAGUGAUGAAGGCCUUAGGGUUGUAAAGCUCUUUUACCCGGGAUGAUA